AUAACACGAGGAAACUUGUGCUAAUACCGGAUAAGUCUUUACGGAGAAAGCUUUAUGCACCAUUGGAUGAGCCCGCACUUGAUUAGUUUGUUGGUAGGGUAAUGGCCUACCAAGACUAUGAUCAAUAGCUGAUUUGAGAGGAUGAUCAGCCACAUUGGGACUGAGACACGGCCCAAACUCCUACGGGAGGCAGCAGUGGGGAAUCUUGCACAAUGGAGGAAACUCUGAUGCAGCGAUGCCGCGUGAGUGAAGAAGGCCUUUGGGUUGUAAAGCUCUUUCGUCGGGGAAGAAAAUGACUGUACCCGAAUAAGCACCGG
RNAcentral lists this ribosomal RNA (317 nucleotides) under uncultured bacterium. RNAcentral describes it as "bacterial SSU rRNA". It matches the Rfam family "Bacterial small subunit ribosomal RNA", at positions 143 to 493 of the family's 1533-position model. The record is from RNAcentral.